Passer domesticus (house sparrow) is the source of this 6346-nucleotide long non-coding RNA. RefSeq lists it as uncharacterized. The record is from RefSeq and is a predicted model, not a curated record. The transcript has 3 exons. Lineage: Eukaryota; Metazoa; Chordata; Aves; Passeriformes; Passeridae.
GGUGAAAUGAGGUUGUCCAAAAGGGCAACCAGCCAGGGCUGUAGGGUUUUACAGUAAAAAGAGAACAGCACUGACCUGAAGCAGAUAGAUCUGACUGUGGAGCAAAAGCUAAGCUCAAGGUGCAUCAAAGACAGAGCAUGUAGGCGGCUGUCAGCUUCCUAAUCCUGGAUUUAUUGGCAGCAAGGAGAGGAGAGAGGAGGCUCAUUUCAGGGACCAAGAGGACAAACCUAUUCUUGGCACCUUGGAGGGCUUUCCUGAUGCUGGUUAGAUGCACUGGAGUCUCCAGGGGCUCCCAUGAAUGUCACCCUUCCCAAAGCCAAAGAUGAUCCACCUCUGCAAGCAACCCGCUCAUGUUUCCAUUACAACCAGCCCUCAAUUCCCCUUCCUCUCUCAAUCCCACAUUCUGAAUGACAAUUCAGCACCAGCACCUUCACAGCUACUGAUGAGGAGCUCAGACAGAGGAGACAGCUCAAACUCUGUCUCCUUGCAGGGAGGCAAUUCCCAGGACUCUGAUGGACUCUGGAUGUGCCAUGGUGCUCACAGGUUGGUUACAGCUCCAGGAUCUCCAGAUCAGAGCUCCUGGUGCCUGGUUUGGAUUUAUUACCAGGUUAGCAUGAGUUUCCUCACUGUCCUCCAUAGAUUUUAGCAGUUCUUUCAGAAACAAGAGGGCUGUCUCUCUGUUCUUACCUAUGAAGAGUGCCUUUAGCUGGAGUGCUCUUGUAUGAAAACCAGGCAAGAAAACAUUCCAGAAGAAACCAAAAAGCAAGGAAAUCCAUAAUUUUCUUUGUGUUAUUCACAUGGACUCUGCUACCUACAGAAUGUCAAGCACAAUUUGUGUGUCUCACAUUGUGCAAACAUGUAAGCAUCUGGCAGGAGUGCACAACUUACCCAUGGCUGGUGUGAGCAAGUGGAACUUUUGCAUUAAGUAAAGAGCAACAAGUAUUAUGCCAUAUAAAUAAGUGACAGCUUUGGAAAUUAAUUCAUUUUAAAAGAGCCCGUCAACCUGAAACCUGUCCACUUUGCAAAAAAACAUUUCAAAACAUUUUCAGGUUGAUAUCUUCCCUGAAUUUUCCCCAUCACUCUUAGUAUGUCAUUUCUGUAUCAUUUAAACUUGCUCCCUCUUGUUCUGCUGUGAAGAAUACACACACACAGAGACACAAAUCUAGAGGAAAACCAAUCAUGCAGAUUUACAUGAUAAGACAAAACCAGGAAUGUGUCAUAACUGAGGAAAAACUAUCAAGAGAAAUCAACUCAAACCUGAGAGUGAAGGCAGGAAAGAAUGUUAGAUCUUGUAAAACAACUUUCUAACAUACCUGUAAUAAAAUUGAGCCUUAUCUGUUUACCAGGACAAGCAACUCCAAUUCUGUAAAGGACAAGCAACUCCAAUUCUGUAAGCUCUGCACCGGCUUCUAAACCAAUGGGGAGUUGCACUAUUUUAAUUUAAUUUUGUUUUGUUUUAUUACUGACUAGGAGCAUAUCUCAGAACCACCUUCAGCACAUCAUGCCUUGAUGCAGGGAACUUGGGUUUUCACAGCAGCACUGGUUGCAGGCAAAGGGGUCUCAUCAGGCUUUUUUUGCAUUUCCCACUUUGGCUUCAUCCACGGCUAAAAAAAUGAGUCUGCUUAAGCAUAACUCACAGUUAUCUCUUUCAGCUCGUCUGUAAAAUGUGAAUGCAAUGUGUUCCCAUUUAAAGAUCCCUUUGCACUGCGAGAGCCACGUGAAGCACUCUCUAUAGACAGGAGCGCACCCCGAUUAACCUGCCGUGGAAGCAGGAGGGAUGAGGAACCUUUCCAAAAGGCACGGAGAGAUCCACCCAGUGCCAGGGAGCCCACUGGCAGUGUGGGCAGGCGGCACGACCAAGGAUGGGCGACUCUGUCCACCCUGGUGCCGGAGGGAGCUGCUCGGCUCGGUCCUGCAAGCCAGGCGAGAUGUGACUCACGCAGCCUGCUCGCGGAGAAGGAGGACCAUCUGCUAGUCAUGAGCAGAUGACAAAUUCACUGCAUUGCGUCUUGCCGCUACUUCCAAAUCUCAGGUUAUGAUGAAGACAAAAUGCUUUUGUCUGAUCACUUGCUCAUGUUGCAGAGAAAUCUGGAUCCUGUCCCUGCCAGGUGAGUUUCAGGAUUUGUGAGGGUCCAAGCCAGGCUGAUGCAGACAGCUGAAGGCCAGGCUCUGAUCCUCACCACUUCUCCAGGACAGCAGGUGAGAAACUGCAGAGCAGUGGCACAAGCAGGCACCUGGGGUCAUGCUCUGAUGAUUUCUGUGCAGCUCCCCUGGGAAUGUCUGUCUCCUCUCCCUCCUCUUUUUCCUCCUCUUCCAAGCCCCAGCACAAUGUUUCUGUGCCAAACACUCUCCCAUUGUUUCCCCUGUAGGACACUGAGUGCAGCAUAAUUCAUUUCCCUGAUUUGGUUCAGAAGAGCACCAAGCAAGAGACUUGAAGAGCUCCAUAUGUUUAGGCUGUCAAAGGAAAGAUCGAAUAUUCCUUUAUUAUAAGUACCUUAUGUACUUUAAUCAAGCAGAAGGCAAACAUGAAUCAAUAUCUGGGGGUUAAAUCUGGGAAAAUUCAAAUGAGAAAUAAAGCACAGUGUUCUAAGAUAAUGAUUAAUUAUUUUCCAAACUACCACAUGAAGUGGUGAAUCCUUUAUCUCAAACCCAGGUGCCUUUCUGGAGGAGAUGCUUUAGGCAAAUACAAGACGUUGAACCCAGGUAAAGGUAAUUGAGUGAAAUUUUCUGGAACUCAGACCACUAGCUUUCUUGGCCUUGAAGUGCUGAUAUCUAAUAAUCACCUGAUUAUAAAUGGUAUUUAACUUGAACACAAAGCACUCAAGGCAAAAAACCCAAAACAUUUUAGAAGAUUAAAAAGCUUAUCCAUAGUUUAUGCCAUUCAAAUCUGUAAAGCCACAAGAAAAGAUUAUCAUAUUCCCUUCACCAUGGAAACACAAGUACACUGAAGAAAUCAAAAUGUUGGUUGUUGUGUGAUAGAAGACAAAAUGGGACACAAGGGCUGUGAAGUGAAUGGCUAAAGAUUAAUUUAAACAGAAAAAGAAAAGCAACUUGUUACAGACAGAACUUUUUUAAAGACCGAAGGACUCAGUCUCUAAGAUGCAUCCUGUAAUUGCAAUGGGAGGAAAGCAGCAAAAACCACAUUUCUUGGGAAGGGCACUGGUAAAACCCAAAGACCAUACUCAGAAAGCCCAACAUGCAACAGCAAGUUGAGAGGGAAGGUUGUAAGGUAGCAUGGCAAGAUAGAAGAUGAUGAAAAAUAAAAAUCAAGCUAUCCUAAAAGUUGGGCCAGUAAGUAUUACAUGAAAAAAUUUAUGCCAUUUCCCAAAUCUGCACUGAUUUUAAUGUCAUUCACUUCUCUUGUGGCAGUGGAAGGACAGCAGUGUCAGGUUGUUGCUGGCCAUUUUUCAGCUGCUUUCUGUUGCUAAGACACAGAUGUGAUUUUUCAGAUUGCCUGAACAUGACUACCAGUGAGUUUUCUAUUAGAAAUAAAUGUGUAAAGUGACUAUUUCACUGUCGAUACAGAAAUAAUGUCACAAACAUGAAGAACUACUUACAAAAUAAGACAGCUAUAAAUUCACAACCUCUUGGAUAUUGUUUUUUCUCUCCCUGGAGUAAAUCAGGAAUAAGUUGGAGUAAGGGCUGAGGCUUCUUUUGCUCUCAGCAGCUUCUGGGAGGACUUCCCAAAGUCGUGGGACGUGGCAGCCUGUCCCUGAGGGGUAACAUGGAUUAGGUAAGUACAUUUAGCUUCACCUCUCUUUCUUUUGAAAAAAAACACCUUUCUUUUUUUCUUCCCUCAAAGCAACCACAGCAGUUAGCCAGUAUUGAAUACCUUGAGGGUUGUUUCUAUUGGGAAAAGAAGCCAGUGCUGGAGCUGGGUGCUUUGUGCAAGGCUUAUUGUUGAAAAAGGAUGGCAGGAGCCCUAUUUCCCUGAACUCAGCAUGGAUGGACAAUAGGACGCAGUUUCUAUUUCAAGACUCUUUUCAGCCAACACAAUCCAUAACAGAACUUCUUUUUUCCCCUGGUCUCUCUCUCUCUCCACAGCUUUAUCUGAACAGCAGAUGACAAGUAAUUUUCUGGUGUGUCCUCAUUUUCCAUCUCUCUCUAUUUCUUUUCCUGCAGACAGGGCAUGCACACUCAGCUGGUAUUAAUUCAGUCCUUACGUCUUUUUGUUCUCUGUGUUCCCAUUCAGGCUACCAUGUAGAUGGGUUUCUCCCAUGAGGAACAAAGAGGCCAUUAAUUUCUCCACUAAUCAAAGGUAUUAAUGCUCACCAGAUUCAGAGCAGAGAUGUGACUGCACAUGGAUCAAAGACAGGAUUUGCUGAGGGCCAUCCACUCAAGACAGCAGCACCUCAGCUGUAGCUCCCUCAGCCUCCCCACUUGACUUGCUGGCACGUGCAGUGACAAACCACUGAGGACAAGUUUCUAUCCUGACACAGAUCACUUGCCUUCAUUUGCUGAAAGCUGUGCCAUAUCAGUUUAUAUCUACUUGAGAUGUAACUGUCUAAGGCUGCAAAGUCAAAGAAGGGAAAUAGUACCCCCAAAUAUGAAAGAUAUAGGUCUGUCUAUAUAAAAAAAAAUAUUUUAUUUCAUGGUGACAUCAUUUUUUCUUUUGUGGCAUGGCCUGUACUUGAUUUCAAUCUAAACCACACCCUGGCUCACUGUACUGGAAUGCUGUGCAUAAUGGACAGGUGGGCAAUGUGAGACACAGAACACAAGAAAGCAAAUGCAAAAGCUUCCGUUCAGUUCCUAUCUGAGUAGAAAUCACUGCUUGUUUAUUAUUUGUUUUCCAGGUUUUUUUGCAAGUGGGUUGUUUCCUGUCAAGCUGAGCCCCAUGAUAGAAAUCAUAUAAAACUCAAAUGUCCAAAUGCAAUUUUUUAAAAAUCAGGUCAGGUAAAUCCUAUGAAGAGGGUCAAACAAUAGAAAGAAGAGAGAACAGAAAGGGGGAAAAAAAUGUACGGCUGUCUUUCCUGUUCUCAUUUAACCUGAAUAAGAAAUUAAGCGGAGGGGGGGAGAUAGAAGGAAGAGGAAAGACAGAACUAGAACAAAACUAUUUCAGGAUCUUUUAUGGAUGACAAUCUUUAUAUUUACAUAUGAAACCAGACUGGACAAAGCACUAAAAAUACACCAUAUCUCAUUGGGAACAGCAGCAGGGAAAUACAGCAGUUGACAUAAAUGGCCUUUUUCUAUCAUUAGCCUCUGUGAUUCCAUACCCAUUUCAUUCACAGCGUGUAUCCUUCUUACAAGUCUCUCUGUAAUAAUAGUUCCAGAAAUACAAUCCACCCAGCCCUCAUUCUCUGCACUACUGAGGAGCUGGAGCUUUUUAGUGCUUGCCAUAUUGGUAUGGACAUUGAUGACAGACGUGCUCCUCUCUAUUCCAUUAGUUUUAUACCAUUAUAAUUCAUGCAGGGAAAAAUGUACAAGCAGAAUGUCUCACACAGGUUUUGGGGUGAUUUCUGCAGAAAGAACAGAGGAUGCAGCGUGCUGCAAAACUCCUGGAGGAAAUGAGCACUGUUAUCUCUCUUUGAUGUACACAGAAAUUACUUAUCAGCCAUUAAACAACUGCCUUGACUUUUUACACUUUCUCCCAGUUGUCCAGACCUAGAGUUACCUGUCUUGAUUAGACUAAAGGUGUCUUGUCAGCCUUGCAGCAAAAGCUAUUUUUACAGGGCAAAUUCCCCUCACCUGAUAAUAACAGGGGAUUUGUCAUUACCAAAAAUACUGGGCAUAUGGGGAGUUCCUGUUAACAACAGAAUAAAAGUAAGAGGCAUAUAAGGGGUUUCAGUUAACACCAGAAUAGCCCUUAAAGCACUCUCUGGGAAGGUGAAAGGCCACAUAGGGCACCUACUGUAGGUUUUAAGCCCUACCCAGCACCCAAAUGUCAUAUUUCUUCUUUCCCUUUUAAAGUUACCACUCGGCAGGAGACUCCAACUUGUUUAAGUAUGUGGAUACUCUGACUGAAGCCAAAGGGAUCAGGAACUUUGGUCAAUCAGUGUUUUUGUUUCAGGCUUUUCCCCCAGAGGUUAUCUGAGGAUCACCUUUGAUGUCAUAUUCUGGUUUCUCUGUAUUGUUACAGAACCAACCUGGCAUGCAGUCUGCACCAGGCAAAUACUGUGGAGGCUGAUCUUCUUCUCCACAUAGUCAGCUUCUCAUUGCAGGCUUGUGGAUUUGUUGUUUGGUGUGGGACAAUUUUUUGUUUGGGCUUGGCUGGCCCAGAUUUCUUGUAUGAGGUGCUCUUGCAGCAGGUUGUGAAGGCCAAAAUUCAAUCUAAAUCCAACUGAUGGUUUUAGAAAUAUUUCUAACUCCAAGAUGGCAUGAGACAAGAGGAGAGGAAUGGAAAGGAGAA